GGGGACCACAAAGAGCGCUAUGAAGCUCCCUCCUGAAUCCCCAGCAGUUUGGUGCCUUUAUGCUCUGCCCCCACAUUCAGGCCCCACCUCACAUACACAAGCUCAGCCCUGGCCCUGCACUCACAGUGCUGACUUCACCUCCCAGUGCUCCCUGUCUCUCACUGCCUGUGACAGGUAGACUUCAGCCCAUUACAGUGAUGUUUUGUGUGCGCCUGCUAGUGAGUGAGCUUGUUUGUGUGUGUGUCAAUUAGCUUGUCUGUAGUGAGUAUGUAUUGUUAAAAGGUC
Pelobates cultripes (western spadefoot toad) is the source of this 285-nucleotide non-coding RNA. NCBI's taxonomy places the organism in Eukaryota, Metazoa, Chordata, Amphibia, Anura, Pelobatidae. The record is from the annotation of a GenBank genome assembly.